UGACUGAUCAGUGCGUGCAAGUUCUAGCCA
Molecule: non-coding RNA, 30 nt
Filed under: Rattus norvegicus (Norway rat)
Lineage: Eukaryota; Metazoa; Chordata; Mammalia; Rodentia; Muridae
Source: RNAcentral